This 80-nucleotide transfer RNA is filed under the name Marmota monax (woodchuck). RNAcentral describes it as "tRNA.Thr". The record is from RNAcentral. Lineage: Eukaryota; Metazoa; Chordata; Mammalia; Rodentia; Sciuridae.
UAGGGGAUUAGCUCAGUGGUAGAGUACUUGCCUAGUAAUCUAGCAUGGGCAAGGUCCUGGGUUUGAUCCCCAGCAUUGAA